GUGGGGAAUAUUGCACAAUGGGCGCAAGCCUGAUGCAGCCAUGCCGCGUGUAUGAAGAAGGCCUUCGGGUUGUAAAGUACUUUCAGCGGGGAGGAAGGGAGUAAAGUUAAUACCUUUGCUCAUUGACGUUACCCGCAGAAGAAGCACCGGCUAACUCCGUGCCAGCAGCCGCGGUAAUACGGAGGGUGCAAGCGUUAAUCGGAAUUACUGGGCGUAAAGCGCACGCAGGCGGUUUGUUAAGUCAGAUGUGAAAUCCCCGGGCUCAACCUGGGAACUGCAUCUGAUACUGGCAAGCUUGAGUCUCGUAGAGGGGGGUAGAAUUCCAGGUGUAGCGGUGAAAUGCGUAGAGAUCUGGAGGAAUACCGGUGGCGAAGGCGGCCCCCUGGACGAAGACUGACGCUCAGGUGCGAAAGCGUGGGGA
This 421-nucleotide ribosomal RNA is filed under the name Escherichia coli. Its description in RNAcentral is "bacterial SSU rRNA". It matches the Rfam family "Bacterial small subunit ribosomal RNA", at positions 354 to 767 of the family's 1533-position model. The record is from RNAcentral. Lineage: Bacteria; Pseudomonadati; Pseudomonadota; Gammaproteobacteria; Enterobacterales; Enterobacteriaceae.